GAUGAACGCUGGCGGCGUGCCUAAUACAUGCAAGUCGAGCGAACAGAUAAGGAGCUUGCUCCUUUGACGUUAGCGGCGGACGGGUGAGUAACACGUGGAUAACCUACCUAUAAGACUGGGAUAACUUCGGGAAACCGGAGCUAAUACCGGAUAACAUAUUGAACCGCAUGGUUCAAUAGUGAAAGGCGGCUUUGCUGUCACUUAUAGAUGGAUCCGCGCCGUAUUAGCUAGUUGGUAAGGUAGCGGCUUACCAAGGCAACGAUACGUAGCCGACCUGAGAGGGUGAUCGGCCACACUGGAACUGAGACACGGUCCAGACUCCUACGGGAGGCAGCAGUAGGGAAUCUUCCGCAAUGGGCGAAAGCCUGACGGAGCAACGCCGCGUGAGUGAUGAAGGUCUUCGGACCGUAAAACUCUGUUAUCAGGGAAGAACAAAUGUGUAAGUAACUGUGCACAUCUUGACGGUACCUGAUCAGAAAGCCACGGCUAACUACGUG
This 497-nucleotide ribosomal RNA is filed under the name uncultured bacterium. RNAcentral's name for it is "partial 16S ribosomal RNA". It matches the Rfam family "Bacterial small subunit ribosomal RNA", at positions 28 to 507 of the family's 1533-position model. The record is from RNAcentral.